RNAcentral lists this ribosomal RNA (554 nucleotides) under uncultured archaeon. Its description in RNAcentral is "bacterial SSU rRNA". It matches the Rfam family "Archaeal small subunit ribosomal RNA", at positions 325 to 879 of the family's 1478-position model. The record is from RNAcentral.
ACGGGGUGCAGCAGGCGCGAAAACUUUACAAUGCGGGCAACGGCGAUAAGGGGACCUCGAGUGCCAGGUUACAAAUCUGGCUGUCGUGAUGCCUAAAAAGCAUUGCAUAGCAAGGGCCGGGCAAGACCGGUGCCAGCCGCCGCGGUAACACCGGCGGCUCGAGUGGUAACCGUUAUUAUUGGGUCUAAAGGGUCUGUAGCCGGCCGGAUAAGUCUCUUGGGAAAUCCAGCAGCUCAACUGUUGGGCUUUCAGGAGAUACUGUCUGGCUCGAGGCCGGGAGAGGUGAGAGGUACUUCAGGGGUAGGGGUGAAAUCUUGUAAUCCUUGAAGGACCACCAGUGGCGAAGGCGUCUCACCAGAACGGACCUGACGGCAAGGGACGAAAGCUAGGGGCACGAACCGGAUUAGAUACCCGGGUAGUCCUAGCCGUAAACGAUACUCGCUAGGUGUCGGCCACGGUGCGACCGUGGUCGGUGCCGCAGGGAAACCGUGAAGCGAGCCACCUGGGAAGUACGGCCGCAAGGCUGAAACUUAAAGGAAUUGGCGGGGGAGCAC